Molecule: ribosomal RNA, 221 nt
Filed under: uncultured bacterium
Lineage: Bacteria
Description: partial 16S ribosomal RNA
Rfam family: Bacterial small subunit ribosomal RNA
Source: RNAcentral
UAAUAUAUCGGAACGUACCCUGGAGUGGGGAUAACGUAGCGAAAGUUACGCUAAUACCGCAUACGAUCUAAGGAUGAAAGUGGGGGACGCGCAAGCACCUCAUGCUCCUGGAGCGGCCGAUAUCUGAUUAGCUAGUUGGUGGGGUAAAGGCCUACCAAGGCAUCGAUCAGUAGCUGGUCUGAGAGGACGACCAGCCACACUGGAACUGAGACACGGUCCAG